Molecule: ribosomal RNA, 464 nt
Filed under: uncultured bacterium
Lineage: Bacteria
Description: partial 16S ribosomal RNA
Rfam family: Bacterial small subunit ribosomal RNA
Source: RNAcentral
ACGCACGCUGGCGGCGUGCUUCACCCCUGCCAGUCGUACGGUAAGGCCCUUUCGGGGGUACACGAGUGGCGAACGGGUGAGUAACACGUGAGUAACCUGCCCACAACUUUGGGAUAACGCUAGGAAACUGGUGCUAAUACUGGAUAUGUGCUCCUGCUGCAUGGUGGGGGCUGGAAAGCUCCGGCGGUUGUGGAUGGACUCGCGGCCUAUCAGCUUGUUGGUGGGGUAGUGGCCUACCAAGGCGGCGACGGGUAGCCGGCCUGAGAGGGUGACCGGCCACAUUGGGACUGAGAUACGGCCCAGACGCCUACGGGAGGCAGCAGUGGGGAAUAUUGCACAAUGGGCGCAAGCCUGAUGCAGCAACGCCGCGGGCGGGAUGACGGCCUUCGGGUUGUAAACCGCUUUCAGCAGGGACGAAGCUUUUUGUGACGGUACCUGCAGAAGAAGCACCGGCUAACUACGUG